This is a non-coding RNA of Acanthosepion pharaonis, 113 nucleotides long. The record is from the annotation of a GenBank genome assembly. NCBI's taxonomy places the organism in Eukaryota, Metazoa, Mollusca, Cephalopoda, Sepiida, Sepiidae.
UACAGCCAUAUCAAGUUGAAACGCCGCUUCUUGUAUGAUCACCGAAAUUAAGCAACGUUGAGCCUGGUCAGUACCUAGAUGGGUGACUGCUUAGGAAUAUCAUGUACUGCAAG